GUCAAGAUGGGAGAGUAGCAGACCACUCAGCUUGCAACUGGAAAGCCUGGGUUCAGUUCCCAGUACUGAUA
RNAcentral lists this transfer RNA (71 nucleotides) under Neotoma lepida (desert woodrat). It matches the Rfam family "tRNA". From Rfam's summary of the family: Transfer RNA (tRNA) molecules are approximately 80 nucleotides in length. Their secondary structure includes four short double-helical elements and three loops (D, anti-codon, and T loops). Further hydrogen bonds mediate the characteristic L-shaped molecular structure. tRNAs have two regions of fundamental functional importance: the anti-codon, which is responsible for specific mRNA codon recognition, and the 3' end, to which the tRNAs corresponding amino acid is attached (by aminoacyl-tRNA synthetases). tRNAs cope with the degeneracy of the genetic code in two manners: having more than one tRNA (with a specific anti-codon) for a particular amino acid; and 'wobble' base-pairing, i.e. permitting non-standard base-pairing at the 3rd anti-codon position. The record is from Rfam by way of RNAcentral. Lineage: Eukaryota; Metazoa; Chordata; Mammalia; Rodentia; Cricetidae.